GUGGCUGGUUCUGCGGCGUGCGGCCAGCCAUGGAGCGCUCUGGGCCCAGCGAAGUGACAGGCUCAGACGCAUCGGGACCGGACCCGCAGCUUGCGGUCACCAUGGGCUUCACGGGGUUCGGUAAAAAAGCUCGCACAUUUGACUUGGAAGCAAUGUUUGAACAAACUCGAAGAACAGCUGUGGAAAGAAGUUGCAAAACACUGGGGCUGGUGAAUUACCAGAUCUCCGUCAAGUGCAGUAACCAGUUCAAGUUGGAAGUGUGUCUUUUGAAAUCAGAAAACAAAGUCGUGGACAACCAGGCUGGGACCCAGGGCCAGCUGAAGGUGCUGGGUGCCAACCUCUGGUGGCCGUACCUGAUGCACGAACACCCCGCCUACCUGUACUCGUGGGAGGAUGGUGAUUGCUCACACCAAAGCCUUGGACCCCUCCCAGCCUGUGACCUUUGUGACCAACUCCACCUACGCAGCAGACAAGGGGGCUCUGUAUGUGGAUGUGAUCCGUGUGAACAGCUACUACUCUUGGUAUCGCAACUACGGGCACCUGGAGUUGAUUCAGCUGCAGCUGGCCGCCCAGUUUGAGAACUGGUGUAAGACAUCACAAUCCCAUUAUUCAGAGCGUGUAUGGAGUGGAAACGCUUGUAGGGUUUCACCAGAUUCAGAAGGAACCAAGCUGCUGCUUCUACAUGUUGCUGAGAAAUCUGCUGGGUUAAAUGUCCAAUUUCACUGCACACAAGUUCCACCUUCCGCAAAACACAAGAGCAUGAAUACAAUUCAAAAAAGUUUGUUUCCACUUUUCAACAUGGAUUGCUUUUGCUCCAUUUUCCAAUAACAUAUUCAUUUCCAUUUGAGACUCCAACAGAAUGACCUUUACUGUCCAUAUUUUAUCAAUAUUCUGUUCAUGAUUAUUUAAUUAUUUUCUGAGAAGACAGCGUUUUCUUCUAUAUUUCUUUCCGAGCCCUCACGAGAAUUGGCUUUUAAAUUUUUUCCACAGUAAUCUAGCAUUUUGCAUAAAACCUCAUCAAUCUCUGCCAAUCACUGAGCCCAAAACCAUUUUCACUUUGUUUUAGGUAUUUAUAAUAACAGCACUCCCACUUCUCAUGAUCAAUUUCCAUCUUCAGCAGUUCAGGCUGCUUUAAUAAAGUUCCAUAACCUGAGUGGCUUUUAAAUAACGGAAUGCACAUCUCACAGUUCUGGAGGCUGGAAGUCCAACAGCAGAGAGCCAGCAUAAUUGGGUUCUGGUGAGAGAGCUCUCUUGGGUUUCAGACUGCUGCCUUCUCAAUGCAGCUUCACAUGGUGGACAGAAAGAGCUCUCAAGAGUCAUUUUUAAGGGACUAUAGUUUACACUAAUCUGUUGUAUGUUUCAAAAUAGCUAGAAGAUAUAGCUAUAGUUUGUGUCUACCAUAAGGCAAAGAAAUUUAUUUGAGAUGAUUGGCUACCCCAGUUAUACUGAUUUCAUCUUUACAAAUUAUAUCGUUGUAUUAAAUUACCACAUAUACUCUCAAAAUAUGUACAUCUAUUACUAUAUAUUAAUGAAAUAAAUUAAAAAGUUGAGAAAUAAUAGAAAACAAAUCUUAUGCUUCAAACAUCUUUAUUAAAAGAUACAGUUGUUAAUAUUUUAAAAAUUUUAGUUUAUACAAAUCUAAAAUUUUAUGCAUUAGACAUAGAACAGAAAAUCAGUCAGGUUAAUAAAAUUUAAUAUAGAAAUUUUUGCAUAUAUAUUGCUGCUUUAGCUUAUGUAAACUUUAUGAUGGCCAACAAAAGAGCAAGAUGGAUCAGACACAUCAGAUUUAAUUGUUUUAACUGAAAGUGACAAAUAUUACUUUCACUCACGGUCCAUUAGCCAAACCUAGUCACAUGGCCAACAUCACUGCAAGGAAAACUACAGGGUCAAAAUCCCUUGGUCCACCAACGAGAGUAGAAGAGCUGAGUCUUUCUGAGAGACAAAUGAGAUAACAUAUUGAAACACUUAGUAAUAUCUGUUUUUAUCUCAUUAUUACUGUUAAUUGCACUUGUUUUAGGUGUGUCUCUCUCAGUUCUUUUUACUGUUAGUAUAUCUGGAGUUAGAACGUGUUGAUUCUACAAUAUCCUAGUCAUUUAAAUAAAAAUGGUUGGGAAGAAAAA
Molecule: long non-coding RNA, 2120 nt
Organism: Homo sapiens (human)
Lineage: Eukaryota; Metazoa; Chordata; Mammalia; Primates; Hominidae
Gene: GUSBP1
Product: GUSB pseudogene 1
Source: Ensembl